RNAcentral lists this ribosomal RNA (293 nucleotides) under uncultured bacterium. Its description in RNAcentral is "partial 16S ribosomal RNA". It matches the Rfam family "Bacterial small subunit ribosomal RNA", at positions 773 to 1060 of the family's 1533-position model. The record is from RNAcentral.
GUGGAUUAGAUACCCGGGUAGUCCACGCCGUAAACGAUGAGAACUAGGUGUAGCGGGUAUUGACCCCUGCUGUGCCGCAGCUAACGCAUUAAGUUCUCCGCCUGGGGAGUACGGCCGCAAGGCUAAAACUCAAAGGAAUUGACGGGGGCCCGCACAAGCGGUGGAGCAUGUGGUUCAAUUCGACGCAACGCGAAGAACCUUACCUGGAUUUGACAUCCUUUGACAGUCCCGGAAACGGGAUCUUCCCUGCUUGCAGGGACAGAGUGACAGGUGCUGCACGGCCGUCGCCAGCU